AACGAACGCUGGCGGCAUGCCUAACACAUGCAAGUCGAACGAGACCUUCGGGUCUAGCGGCGCACGGGUGCGUAACGCGUGGGAACCUGCACUUAGGUUCGGAAUAACUCCCCGAAAGGGGUGCUAAUACCGGAUAUUGUCUUCGGACCAACGAUUUAUCGCCUUUGGAUGGGCCGGCGUUGGCUUAGCUAGUUGGUAGGGUAAAGGCCUACCAAGGCGACGAUCCAUAGCUGGUCUGAGAGGAUGAUCAGCCACACUGGGACGGAGACACGGCCCAGACUCCUACGGGAGGCAGCAGUGGGGAAUAUUGGACAAUGGGCGAAAGCCUGAUCCAGCAAUGCCGCGUGAGUGAUGAAGGCCUUAGGGUUGUAAAGCUCUUUUACCCGGGAUGAUAAUGACAGUACCGGGAGAAUAAGCUCCGGCUAACUCCGUG
Molecule: ribosomal RNA, 433 nt
Filed under: uncultured bacterium
Lineage: Bacteria
Description: partial 16S ribosomal RNA
Rfam family: Bacterial small subunit ribosomal RNA
Source: RNAcentral